Molecule: ribosomal RNA, 108 nt
Filed under: Lepisosteus oculatus (spotted gar)
Lineage: Eukaryota; Metazoa; Chordata; Actinopteri; Semionotiformes; Lepisosteidae
Source: RNAcentral
GCCAGCAGCCAUAUCACCCUGCAGCUCUCAACUAGCUAACUAAGCAGGGUUGAGCCUGGUCAGUACCUGGAUAAGAGACUUAUUGGGAAGCUAUGGUUGCUGCUGGAA